CAGUAAAUAGUUUAAUAAAAAAUAUAGCAUUUGGGUUGCUAAGAUAUUAUUACUGA
This 56-nucleotide transfer RNA is filed under the name Caenorhabditis wallacei. RNAcentral's name for it is "tRNA-Pro". Lineage: Eukaryota; Metazoa; Nematoda; Chromadorea; Rhabditida; Rhabditidae. The record is from RNAcentral.